Schistosoma haematobium is the source of this 43-nucleotide non-coding RNA. NCBI's taxonomy places the organism in Eukaryota, Metazoa, Platyhelminthes, Trematoda, Strigeidida, Schistosomatidae. The record is from Rfam.
CUGGGAAUGAGGAGUCCCACAAUAGGACGAAACGGCCGUCCAG